RNAcentral lists this ribosomal RNA (467 nucleotides) under uncultured bacterium. RNAcentral's name for it is "bacterial SSU rRNA". It matches the Rfam family "Bacterial small subunit ribosomal RNA", at positions 329 to 793 of the family's 1533-position model. The record is from RNAcentral.
UUCCAGACUCCUACGGGAGGCAGCAGUGAGGAAUAUUGGUCAAUGGUCGGGAGACUGAACCAGCCAAGCCGCGUGAGGGAUGAAGGUACAGAGUAUCGUAAACCUCUUUUGUCAGGGAACAAAGGCGGGGACGUGUCCCCGGAUGAGUGUACCUGAAGAAAAAGCAUCGGCUAACUCCGUGCCAGCAGCCGCGGUAAUACGGAGGAUGCGAGCGUUAUCCGGAUUUAUUGGGUUUAAAGGGUGCGUAGGCGGGCCGGGAAAGACGGGGGUAAAAGCCGGGGCCCCACCCCCGGCGAGCCGUUGAAACUGUCGGACUAGAGACGGCGAGAAGUACGCGGAAUGCGCGGUGUAGCGGUGAAAUGCAUAGAUAUCGCGCAGAACUCCGAUUGCGAAGGCAGCGUACCGGCGCCGGACUGACGCUGAGGCACGAAAGCGUGGGUAUCGAACAGGAUUAGAUACCCGUGUAA